GUGGUGGCUCAGUGGUAGAGUACUUGCCUAGCAUGUGUGAGGCACUGGGUUCCAUCCCCAGCACCACA
RNAcentral lists this transfer RNA (68 nucleotides) under Marmota marmota marmota (Alpine marmot). It matches the Rfam family "tRNA". From Rfam's summary of the family: Transfer RNA (tRNA) molecules are approximately 80 nucleotides in length. Their secondary structure includes four short double-helical elements and three loops (D, anti-codon, and T loops). Further hydrogen bonds mediate the characteristic L-shaped molecular structure. tRNAs have two regions of fundamental functional importance: the anti-codon, which is responsible for specific mRNA codon recognition, and the 3' end, to which the tRNAs corresponding amino acid is attached (by aminoacyl-tRNA synthetases). tRNAs cope with the degeneracy of the genetic code in two manners: having more than one tRNA (with a specific anti-codon) for a particular amino acid; and 'wobble' base-pairing, i.e. permitting non-standard base-pairing at the 3rd anti-codon position. RNAcentral also lists the same sequence under 1 other name. Lineage: Eukaryota; Metazoa; Chordata; Mammalia; Rodentia; Sciuridae. The record is from Rfam by way of RNAcentral.